Molecule: ribosomal RNA, 369 nt
Filed under: uncultured bacterium
Lineage: Bacteria
Description: bacterial SSU rRNA
Rfam family: Bacterial small subunit ribosomal RNA
Source: RNAcentral
AGCGAACGCUGGCGGCAGGCCUAAUACAUGCAAGUCGAACGGAUCCUUCGGGAUUAGUGGCGGACGGGUGAGUAACACGUGGGAACGUGCCCUUUGGUUCGGAACAACUCAGGGAAACUUGAGCUAAUACCGGAUAAGCCCUUCGGGGAAGGAUUAUCGCCAUUGGAGCGGCCCGCCGUCUGAUUAGUCUAGUUGGGUGGGGUAAAGGGACCGUACCAACGGACGACGAUCAGUAGCUGGUCUGAGAGGANGAUCAGCCACACUGGGACUGAGACACGGCCCACGACUCCUACGGGAGGCGAGCAGUAGGGAAGUCUUGCACAAUAGGGCGGAAAGCCUGAUGCAGCGACGCCGCGUGAGGGAUGACGG